Molecule: transfer RNA, 75 nt
Filed under: Snodgrassella alvi SCGC AB-598-J21
Lineage: Bacteria; Pseudomonadati; Pseudomonadota; Betaproteobacteria; Neisseriales; Neisseriaceae
Description: tRNA-Asp
Source: RNAcentral
UUAAAAAUGGCGGGGUGGCAGCAGUAUUGAGUAUGUCAAUUUCUUUUGCUAAUAGUUCAAUACCGCCGGAAAUCA